UAAAAAGUUACUCAAGCGCACACAAGGGAUGCCUUGACAUAAGAUACCGAUGAAGGACGUGAGGAGCUGCGAAAAGCUCCGGGGAGCUGCUAACUAAGCUAUGAACCGGAGAUGUCCGAAUGGAGAAAUCCGGCUAGGGUCAUGCCUAGUCAUCACGAGUUGAACACAUAGGCUCGAUGAAGGAAACCGGGGGA
RNAcentral lists this ribosomal RNA (194 nucleotides) under Candidatus Saccharimonadota bacterium. Its description in RNAcentral is "partial 23S ribosomal RNA". It matches the Rfam family "Bacterial large subunit ribosomal RNA", at positions 1 to 191 of the family's 2925-position model. The record is from RNAcentral. Lineage: Bacteria; Candidatus Saccharimonadota.